GUGUGAAAAAUAACAUAUAUUCCUUAUAUUGUGUUUAUCGGCAUGGUCAAUUUGUUAACUGAUGACAUGUUCAAUUGGUCAUCUCUAAUUACCCCCUUUCAUGCAUAUUGUGUGCUCUAACAUGGAGUUGCCCCCCCUCUUUAUUUUGGUCCCACUCCACCACAGGAGCAGAGUAACUAGUAACACACAUUAAGCCACAUCAAACCAACUCAACAGAGGGUUGUGCCAAUGCGCCUUUACCACAUGAACAUGUGAUCACUAAGGUGUGUCAACUAACCUGUACUCGGUUAUCAAUUAUCUCCUGCCAGUAAUUUUGGGAUUGGUUGAACCCUUAUAGUAGUCAAAUAUUGGAAAGCUAUCUUAUCAUCAAGUAAAAAAUGUGUGAAAUGUUAACCUUUUGGUUUGCAACUAUAACCUGUUUGGGUUCAUAUAUACCCUCCAAGUAAUCUUAACCUACGUGCAAGCACUUGUCCAGCUUUUUAUCAAUGAUGAUGAUGACAUCUUUUCCUAUUAAAUUGCAGAAUGCCCAUGCUGAAAAUAAUCUUCCAGUGCAACAAGGUGGUCCUGAACCAAGUUUAUGACUUCACCAAGUCCAUAAGAAGGUAAACAUAUGCUACAUAUCUAAAUGACAAUGAUUGUACAAGAGGUUGUCUAAUUUUGUAUGUAAGUGCAAGGUAAAUGACAUUAUGAAACACUAAUCCCAUUUUGACAAGCAUGUUUCAAAUACUGUCAUGACACCAAUAGCAGAUCAUAUGUCAGAUUCAACCAAGUACUAAAAAAUUGUAUUGCAUACAACAGUAACAUGAUUUUUCCCGAUGGAACCAAAAGUUAAGUCACACACAUAUCAUUGCUGCUCCAAGAGAUCUCGUAUUCAAAGAAACUAAUUAAUCACUUUUGAAUUGAUACAUGAGUACUAAUAAAACACCAACCUUGCAUACAUGUACUUUUUGGUGGAAACCUUGCAUAGAUGUUGAGGAACACCUGUCCCUUGAAUAUUAGGUGAACUCUCUUUUUAGUGUAUAAAUUAACAUGACGUGAACUUCAUUUGUUUGCAUGUUGCAUUCACGCUUAGUUUUCACAAUAAAUAUUUUCUUAAUAAGACCUUAAUCUAAUCUGAUAGCAAAGUGUGCAGACAGAAGGUACGUGUAGAAUAAAGCUCACUUACUGCAUGUAUCAGAACUCUUCAAAACUAUCAUUCUUUAUUAUAGUUGAUCAUGUGUCUCCCUUCACAUGUAUUCCUAUUUAAUUGUAGAAUGCUCAUGCUCAAAACAGCAAUGCACCAAGCUACAUGGUCAUCACCAAGUCACUAAGCAGGUACAUAUAGGCUCGAUGUCUAAAUGACAAUGAUUGUUUAAUAGAUAGUUGAUCUAAUUAUUUUUGAAAUUGUUCUUAUUUCUGUAAAAUGAAAUCUGCUCAGGUUCAUCAAUAACAAAAUUUUCAUUUCUUGAAAAAUAGGAUAAAGUUGAAGUCGUGUUGUAUUCGAUGAACUCGAGAAACAAAGACAAACUCGUGGCCAAUGGAACCUUAGUGAGUAAAGAGAAAACAUAUGUGGUUGGAGGAAACAUGCUUGGAGUGCAAUAUAUUGCAGUACUUAUUCGCGGCUGUAUAUAUCUAGGAGAUGAGAAACUAGUUAGACCAUAUGAAAAAUUGCAAACAGUAAGGGAUGCUAUGAGUUCUUUUAUUGCUUGGCCUCGCUCAUAUGUCAGUAUGCUUCCAUUCAAGCAUUGGGUAUGCUCCAAUAUGCACAUGUGUGAUGUGUUAUUUACCUGGAAUCUUUCUUUUUUUACGUAAAAAUAGUUAAGCCAACCCCUCCUGCACAACCACAAAGCAUUGGUAGGAUACAAUUCUUAUAAUUUUAUCAAAGAAUCUCUUAUCUUACACUUCUGUAUAAACAUAUGUUCAUGCAAAUGUUGUUCAUUCUCCUUUUCAGGGCAGUGAGGAUUUGAAAAGUGAGUGCAUAAAAAAAGCUAGGAGUGGCUGGGUACUUGAGGAUUUGAAAAGGGAGCGCACUGGAGGAGUCAGGAGUAGUUGAUGAAUAUUUCUUUGAAUGAACAAAAAUUCUAAAUUAUGUAUAGAUUGUAGCUUAAUAGAGAAAAAUAGUUCCAGUCUAUAGGAUCUUUUCUUAUUUAUUUUUCAUAUGAAUGUUUGAUGUUAUUCAGCUGUGAACUCCAAAUACUUUCAGUGGAGACAUUGUUCCUGCUAAUUAAUGCAUUGGAUGUUGUUACUGAGGUUGCCAAUGUUUGCAAAUGCAAUCUAUGACAUGGAAUGAUGCCUUCGUAUCACAAUAUUAUUUGACCAAUUUGCAUGCGCAGCCAUGACAUUAAAAAUGUUUGAAGUAAAAUAUUCCAUCUAUAAAGAUAUUCUUAUGUAUAUUUAGAGAUUAGUAUAAGAGGUGAAUGAAAUGGUAUAUUCAUAGACGAGUAUAAGAGGCGAACGAAACGUGUCUAUGAGUAGAGACGUAAUAUGAGCAUGCCUAACAUAACGUCUCUACAUGUAGACACGAUUUUUGAGCAUGCCUAACACAACAUCUCUAUAUGUAGACACGAUUUUGAACGUCCCUAAAAAGCGUCUCUUGCCAUGUAAGACACGCUUGCCAAGCGUGUCUAUCUAUUUAAGACGGUUCGUGGGGAGACGCUCCAAGGACGCUUUACUAAAACGGCUCUAUAGUUGGCUAGAGAUGAAAUAACACGUCGCUAGGUAUGAAAUUGGGCGUGUCUAUCGG
RNAcentral lists this long non-coding RNA (2722 nucleotides) under Triticum aestivum (bread wheat). Its description in RNAcentral is "long non-coding RNA (TAES_LNC015923)". The record is from RNAcentral. Lineage: Eukaryota; Viridiplantae; Streptophyta; Magnoliopsida; Poales; Poaceae.